This 3006-nucleotide ribosomal RNA is filed under the name Salmonella enterica subsp. enterica serovar Uganda. RNAcentral describes it as "23S ribosomal RNA". It matches the Rfam family "Bacterial large subunit ribosomal RNA". Lineage: Bacteria; Pseudomonadati; Pseudomonadota; Gammaproteobacteria; Enterobacterales; Enterobacteriaceae. The record is from RNAcentral.
GGUUAAGCGACUAAGCGUACACGGUGGAUGCCCUGGCAGUCAGAGGCGAUGAAGGGCGUGCUAAUCUGCGAUAAGCGCCGGUAAGGUGAUAUGAACCGUUAUAACCGGCGAUACCCGAAUGGGGAAACCCAGUGUGACUCGUCACACUAUCAUUAACUGAAUCCAUAGGUUAAUGAGGCGAACCGGGGGAACUGAAACAUCUAAGUACCCCGAGGAAAAGAAAUCAACCGAGAUUCCCCCAGUAGCGGCGAGCGAACGGGGAGGAGCCCAGAGCCUGAAUCAGCAUGUGUGUUAGUGGAAGCGUCUGGAAAGGCGCGCGAUACAGGGUGACAGCCCCGUACACAAAAGCGCAUGUGCUGUGAGCUCGAUGAGUAGGGCGGGACACGUGGUAUCCUGUCUGAAUAUGGGGGGACCAUCCUCCAAGGCUAAAUACUCCUGACUGACCGAUAGUGAACCAGUACCGUGAGGGAAAGGCGAAAAGAACCCCGGCGAGGGGAGUGAAAAAGAACCUGAAACCGUGUACGUACAAGCAGUGGGAGCCCCACCACUAAGCCAGUGGUGAACUCCACAUACGCAUCCUUUGCUGAGGAUACGGUUAACGGAGCGAAAGCGACGUUCAACCGCAAAAGAAGCAGAGGGGGCUUAGUGGUGGGGUGACUGCGUACCUUUUGUAUAAUGGGUCAGCGACUUAUAUUCUGUAGCAAGGUUAACCGAAUAGGGGAGCCGUAGGGAAACCGAGUCUUAACCGGGCGUUAAGUUGCAGGGUAUAGACCCGAAACCCGGUGAUCUAGCCAUGGGCAGGUUGAAGGUUGGGUAACACUAACUGGAGGACCGAACCGACUAAUGUUGAAAAAUUAGCGGAUGACCUGUGGCUGGGGGUGAAAGGCCAAUCAAACCGGGAGAUAGCUGGUUCUCCCCGAAAGCUAUUUAGGUAGCGCCUCGUGAAUUCAUCUCCGGGGGUAGAGCACUGUUUCGGCUAGGGGGCCAUCCCGGCUUACCAACCCGAUGCAAACUGCGAAUACCGGAGAAUGUUAUCACGGGAGACACACGGCGGGUGCUAACGUCCGUCGUGAAGAGGGAAACAACCCAGACCGCCAGCUAAGGUCCCAAAGUCAUGGUUAAGUGGGAAACGAUGUGGGAAGGCCCAGACAGCCAGGAUGUUGGCUUAGAAGCAGCCAUCAUUUAAAGAAAGCGUAAUAGCUCACUGGUCGAGUCGGCCUGCGCGGAAGAUGUAACGGGGCUAAACCAUGCACCGAAGCUGCGGCAGCGACACUCAGGUGUUGUUGGGUAGGGGAGCGUUCUGUAAGCCUGUGAAGGUGUGUCGUGAGGCAUGCUGGAGGUAUCAGAAGUGCGAAUGCUGACAUAAGUAACGAUAAAGCGGGUGAAAAGCCCGCUCGCCGGAAGACCAAGGGUUCCUGUCCAACGUUAAUCGGGGCAGGGUGAGUCGACCCCUAAGGCGAGGCCGAAAGGCGUAGUCGAUGGGAAACAGGUUAAUAUUCCUGUACUUGGUGUUACUGCGAAGGGGGGACGGAGAAGGCUAUGUUGGCCGGGCGACGGUUGUCCCGGUUUAAGCGUGUAGGUGUGUGUUCCAGGUAAAUCCGGUUCACUUUAACACUGAGGCGUGACGACGAGGCACUACGGUGCUGAAGCAACAAAUGCCCUGCUUCCAGGAAAAGCCUCUAAGCAUCAGGUAACAUCAAAUCGUACCCCAAACCGACACAGGUGGUCAGGUAGAGAAUACCAAGGCGCUUGAGAGAACUCGGGUGAAGGAACUAGGCAAAAUGGUGCCGUAACUUCGGGAGAAGGCACGCUGACACGUAGGUGAAGUGAUUUACUCAUGGAGCUGAAGUCAGUCGAAGAUACCAGCUGGCUGCAACUGUUUAUUAAAAACACAGCACUGUGCAAACACGAAAGUGGACGUAUACGGUGUGACGCCUGCCCGGUGCCGGAAGGUUAAUUGAUGGGGUCAGCGCAAGCGAAGCUCCUGAUCGAAGCCCCGGUAAACGGCGGCCGUAACUAUAACGGUCCUAAGGUAGCGAAAUUCCUUGUCGGGUAAGUUCCGACCUGCACGAAUGGCGUAAUGAUGGCCAGGCUGUCUCCACCCGAGACUCAGUGAAAUUGAACUCGCUGUGAAGAUGCAGUGUACCCGCGGCAAGACGGAAAGACCCCGUGAACCUUUACUAUAGCUUGACACUGAACAUUGAGCCUUGAUGUGUAGGAUAGGUGGGAGGCUUUGAAGCGUGGACGCCAGUCUGCGUGGAGCCGACCUUGAAAUACCACCCUUUAAUGUUUGAUGUUCUAACGUGGACCCGUAAUCCGGGUUGCGGACAGUGUCUGGUGGGUAGUUUGACUGGGGCGGUCUCCUCCUAAAGAGUAACGGAGGAGCACGAAGGUUGGCUAAUCCUGGUCGGACAUCAGGAGGUUAGUGCAAUGGCAUAAGCCAGCUUGACUGCGAGCGUGACGGCGCGAGCAGGUGCGAAAGCAGGUCAUAGUGAUCCGGUGGUUCUGAAUGGAAGGGCCAUCGCUCAACGGAUAAAAGGUACUCCGGGGAUAACAGGCUGAUACCGCCCAAGAGUUCAUAUCGACGGCGGUGUUUGGCACCUCGAUGUCGGCUCAUCACAUCCUGGGGCUGAAGUAGGUCCCAAGGGUAUGGCUGUUCGCCAUUUAAAGUGGUACGCGAGCUGGGUUUAGAACGUCGUGAGACAGUUCGGUCCCUAUCUGCCGUGGGCGCUGGAGAACUGAGGGGGCUGCUCCUAGUACGAGAGGACCGGAGUGGACGCAUCACUGGUGUUCGGGUUGUCAUGCCAAUGGCACUGCCCGGUAGCUAAAUGCGGAAGAGAUAAGUGCUGAAAGCAUCUAAGCACGAAACUUGCCCCGAGAUGAGUUCUCCCUGAGACUUUAGGUCUCCUGAAGGAACGUUGAAGACGACGACGUUGAUAGGCCGGGUGUGUAAGCGCAGCGAUGCGUUGAGCUAACCGGUACUAAUGAACCGUGAGGCUUAACCUU